UAAUUAUUUUUUACGAUAAAUGUAUUAUGCAAUUUUGACUCUUCCGAAAACCUAAUAAAUUCAGGUGGAGUAUGAAUUUUAUCUGUACUCGAUCCGAACAUGAAUGAAUUUUUUAUUAUAUAAUAUGUGAAUAUUCGAUGUUAUAUUAGAAUUUGUAUUUUGAAAAUUUAGAUUUUAGUACAAUAUAUUUUCAUAGAUUUAGGUUAUUAUACUAUUAAUAUCACUAAGUUAUUGGUGCUAUUAGGUUUUAGUCCUUGGACGAAGAAAUGCGUGGUUAGAAUGAUUGUUGUUCUCUAGAGUUAAGUGGGUGGUUGGUUGGUUGAAUAGUAUGUAUGAUCUAACGGAUGAAAAUGGUCAAAAAGGUAGAUCUAACGGCAGAAAACUUGAUAGCACCAAAUAGUUAGUGCUAUCGAUAGCAUAGUAGCCGGACUCUAUAUUUAUGUAUGUUAAAAAAGAAAUAAUACUAUUCGUAUU
RNAcentral lists this long non-coding RNA (474 nucleotides) under Ananas comosus (pineapple). RNAcentral describes it as "long non-coding RNA (ACOM_LNC037669)". The record is from RNAcentral. Lineage: Eukaryota; Viridiplantae; Streptophyta; Magnoliopsida; Poales; Bromeliaceae.